RNAcentral lists this ribosomal RNA (1372 nucleotides) under uncultured bacterium. RNAcentral's name for it is "bacterial SSU rRNA". It matches the Rfam family "Bacterial small subunit ribosomal RNA", at positions 28 to 1381 of the family's 1533-position model. The record is from RNAcentral.
GAUGAACGCUGGCGGCGUGCCUAAUACAUGCAAGUCGAGCGAACGGACGAGAAGCUUGCUUCUCUGAUGUUAGCGGCGGACGGGUGAGUAACACGUGGAUAACCUACCUAUAAGACUGGGAUAACUUCGGGAAACCGGAGCUAAUACCGGAUAAUAUUUUGAACCGCAUGGUUCAAAAGUGAAAGACGGUCUUGCUGUCACUUAUAGAUGGAUCCGCGCUGCAUUAGCUAGUUGGUAAGGUAACGGCUUACCAAGGCAACGAUGCAUAGCCGACCUGAGAGGGUGAUCGGCCACACUGGAACUGAGACACGGUCCAGACUCCUACGGGAGGCAGCAGUAGGGAAUCUUCCGCAAUGGGCGAAAGCCUGACGGAGCAACGCCGCGUGAGUGAUGAAGGUCUUCGGAUCGUAAAACUCUGUUAUUAGGGAAGAACAUAUGUGUAAGUAACUGUGCACAUCUUGACGGUACCUAAUCAGAAAGCCACGGCUAACUACGUGCCAGCAGCCGCGGUAAUACGUAGGUGGCAAGCGUUAUCCGGAAUUAUUGGGCGUAAAGCGCGCGUAGGCGGUUUUUUAAGUCUGAUGUGAAAGCCCACGGCUCAACCGUGGAGGGUCAUUGGAAACUGGAAAACUUGAGUGCAGAAGAGGAAAGUGGAAUUCCAUGUGUAGCGGUGAAAUGCGCAGGGAUAUGGAGGAACACCAGUGGCGAAGGCGACUUUCUGGUCUGUAACUGACGCUGAUGUGCGAAAGCGUGGGGAUCAAACAGGAUUAGAUACCCUGGUAGUCCACGCCGUAAACGAUGAGUGCUAAGUGUUAGGGGGUUUCCGCCCCUUAGUGCUGCAGCUAACGCAUUAAGCACUCCGCCUGGGGAGUACGACCGCAAGGUUGAAACUCAAAGGAAUUGACGGGGACCCGCACAAGCGGUGGGGCAUGUGGUUUAAUUCGAAGCAACGCGAAGAACCUUACCAAAUCUUGACAUCCUUUGACAACUCUAGAGAUAGAGCCUUCCCCUUCGGGGGACAAAGUGACAGGUGGUGCAUGGUUGUCGUCAGCUCGUGUCGUGAGAUGUUGGGUUAAGUCCCGCAACGAGCGCAACCCUUAAGCUUAGUUGCCAUCAUUAAGUUGGGCACUCUAAGUUGACUGCCGGUGACAAACCGGAGGAAGGUGGGGAUGACGUCAAAUCAUCAUGCCCCUUAUGAUUUGGGCUACACACGUGCUACAAUGGACAAUACAAAGGGCAGCGAAACCGCGAGGUCAAGCAAAUCCCAUAAAGUUGUUCUCAGUUCGGAUUGUAGUCUGCAACUCGACUACAUGAAGCUGGAAUCGCUAGUAAUCGUAGAUCAGCAUGCUACGGUGAAUACGUUCCCGGGUCU